Long non-coding RNA from Hemicordylus capensis (graceful crag lizard), 1323 nucleotides. RefSeq lists it as uncharacterized. The transcript is spliced from 5 exons. NCBI's taxonomy places the organism in Eukaryota, Metazoa, Chordata, Lepidosauria, Squamata, Cordylidae. The record is from RefSeq and is a predicted model, not a curated record.
UACUACUGGCAGGUGGAAGAAGGAGGAAGAUUAAGAAGGAAGAAGGCUCAAAAACUUGCCUGCAAUCUCCUAGGAGGCACCAGAGGGAGCACAACAGAGAAGAGGGAGAGGUCUCACUCUGAUCAAAACCAUGGUGUGAGGAGGGCGGGGCGUGUAACAAUUUUCUCCCUUGUUACAGUCCUGGCAAAAAUCCCUCCUAAAACUGCUGUUUACCUUGGGAGGGGAACUUCCUACUGGAACCAACAGCAUCCCCUAGCCCCCAACCCCAGCCAAAUAGCAGAAGGGGAUUUUUUUGGGAACUGCUACUUGGAGACAAAUAACUAGAGCUCCCCUUCUUCCACACCAUGGUCUCUAUCCAAAUUAGGCCCUCCUAUGGCUGCAAAGCAAGAUGGAAACACAAUAACACUUUUAGUGUUGUGUAGUUUGACCUGAACCAACUUUGUCAUCUUAUUCACUUGUGCAAUUUAUUCUGCUUAUGGGAGUGGAACAACCGUACAGAACACAUCAUUUGUAAAAAGAGAAAACAGAUUAAGAUGGAGGAAAGUCACACAAAAUCAACAAAUGGCUGUAUUCUAAAACUCUAUGCACUCACCAAAACUUCAACAUUGCGAAACUCAUCACAACGGGAUCCCAAGUCUGGAGGCUCAAGCAGCUGAUCAAUACCCUAAAAGAGAUGGUCGAGCCAUGCAGAGUCCUUACAGAACCACCAAGCUCUGUCAGCUUGGAAGCUGUGACCUGAAAACAGAGAAAAAUCAAGCAGCAAGCAGGACAAGCAGUGGGCUUUAUCUCUGAUCCAGGUCAGCUUAUUUAUGGAAGCAUGCUCGACGGGUUCUCUGCUAUCAGCACGUUUGUGAUUUCACAUCUUCACCUCUGUGCGGACAAUAUUGAGCAUUUCGCCAUUGAGGACGUCCACACCCCUUCUGAGACCACGUCUGACACAGUGCUUUUGUCACCUGCCACUUCCAUUUUGAUUUUGAUACUUGACUUUGCCUGUUUCAUCCUGCAGUCCAAUUUUUGCCUGGCUCAGUUACACCUCCUUCCUUAACUUUUGACUGUCAUUGCACAUGCCUUUGUUUAUGUAUUCUGCAUUAUGAGAAGCCAAUUUGUGUACUGUUUAUUAAUGUUAUGGAUCAUUUAUUACUGACUUAUCAUUUUUGAAUAUAUAUUUCCAGUGUUUGUUUAUAUUUUCAUUGUUUGGUCAUUAUUAUCUGCAUUUUUUUGGUUUGUAGUCACGGUGGGAUUUCCCCGUUCCCCUCUUCAUUGUUUCAUUCUGUGACUGCCCCUGUCUAUUGCUUCAAUAAAACAAAGCCAAACUUGAAAGCA